CUACCCCAAACCCUAAAGGCACCUCCAAGUUGCGAGUAGCUCAGUUUGGUCGCUGGCGGGAGGGAGGCGGGAGUAGACGACCCCAGAUUGCUGUGAGAAGACAGAAUGAGAUGGUAGUUUGCAGAUUGGCGUUUUGCACUUAAGUACCCAGGUUAAAACUGUCAUAGAAACAACAAAGUCCUUGCUACCUGUGGUGACCUGAAAAUAAAAUGCAGAACAAUCCUGCUAGAGCCUGGGAUCGGGAAGUCCUCACGGGAAGAAAGCCAGGAGGAAAGAAAGGUUUCUAGACCACGUGUUUCGGCAGCAGUGGCACGGUAAGGUUGAGGUGGAGUUUGGGCUGCUGGCCCUCUCCUGCCCACUCCAGCUCUCACUCUCACAGGCAUCAGUGUGGGGUUGGCUUCCUGGACUUUCGAGGACAAUAUUCAGUUCUAGGACUGUAGUGAUUCUGUCUAGUAGAGGGAUUACAAGUACUGUCCUUUAUAGAUAUUCAGCAAGAGAGAAGAUGGGCAUGAAUUCUGGGUGGUUGAAUUUGCAAUUAAAAUCUCUAACUUAUGUCACAAUGACAUACUAUUUAUAAAAUUUAUCUUUGGUUUAGAAACU
Panthera uncia (snow leopard) is the source of this 600-nucleotide long non-coding RNA. RefSeq lists it as uncharacterized. NCBI's taxonomy places the organism in Eukaryota, Metazoa, Chordata, Mammalia, Carnivora, Felidae. The record is from RefSeq and is a predicted model, not a curated record. The transcript is spliced from 3 exons.